Molecule: ribosomal RNA, 423 nt
Filed under: Phyllobacteriaceae bacterium
Lineage: Bacteria; Pseudomonadati; Pseudomonadota; Alphaproteobacteria; Hyphomicrobiales; Phyllobacteriaceae
Description: bacterial SSU rRNA
Rfam family: Bacterial small subunit ribosomal RNA
Source: RNAcentral
UUAAGUUUUGAUCCUGGCUCAGAACGAACGCUGGCGGCAGGCUUAACACAUGCAAGUCGAGCGCCCCGCAAGGGGAGCGGCAGACGGGUGAGUAACGCGUGGGAAUCUACCCAUCUCUACGGAAUAACUCAGGGAAACUUGUGCUAAUACCGUAUACGUCCUUCGGGAGAAAGAUUUAUCGGAGAUGGAUGAGCCCGCGUUGGAUUAGCUAGUUGGUGGGGUAAAGGCCUACCAAGGCGACGAUCCAUAGCUGGUCUGAGAGGAUGAUCAGCCCACACUGGGACUGAGACACGGCCCAGACUCCUACGGGAGGCAGCAGUGGGGAAUAUUGGACAAUGGGCGCAAGCCUGAUCCAGCCAUGCCGCGUGAGUGAUGAAGGCCCUAGGGUUGUAAAGCUCUUUCAACGGUGAAGAUAAUGGUGGU